This is a long non-coding RNA of Canis lupus familiaris (dog), 1607 nucleotides long. RefSeq lists it as uncharacterized. NCBI's taxonomy places the organism in Eukaryota, Metazoa, Chordata, Mammalia, Carnivora, Canidae. The transcript is spliced from 3 exons. The record is from RefSeq and is a predicted model, not a curated record.
UCUGUCCAGCCAAGGGCGGCCCACACCGCUAUUCUUUUCACCACUCCUAUUUUCUAGAACAUGAUGUUCUCUUCUACCUGUGGAACUCAGAAGUAUUUCAAAACUGAAGGGAAAGCUUCCCUUUGCUCGCGACCCCCCUUUCUAAGUAUGGAAUCGGAUCCCAGUGGAACUCCAGCAGACCCUUAAGACAACAGGUCUCACCCUUUGCCUGAGCAAAUCUAGCCUCCCCUACUACUUCAAAGGACUUUUGUGAAAAUAAAAUGAGAUGGCAGAAGUAUCUCGUGUGGAGGUAAACAAGAAUCACUCGACAAUACAACUUUUCUUUCCUCACAAACGCCCAUAACACUGUUCAUUGACAUCUUGAUUUUGGUUCUUCAAUUUCAAGAACCCUUCCCUCCAUGCCAAAGGAGAAAGAAGGAAGCAAAACAAUUAUUGGCAAUCCAAACUCAUCACUACCCCCAAUUUUCUUCCAAUUUCUCUUCAUGUUCCUUCCAAGAGCAGAGUCCUGCCUCUGCUUUGCCACACAUUUUAUGAGCAUUGUUCUAUUCUGUCCAUUGUCAGUGAAAUCAACUCAAGAUCAAAAGAAAGAAGAUUGUGUUUCCUCUCUAAUUCUUACUCCAUCCCGGCAUCCAGUGCCCAUGUGUUCAAUGGAAACCAUGGAUUUUUUUAGACUCAUUAAACAUGGUCAUUGUGUAUAAAAGAAAAGUCUUCCGUUCUUCAUAGGACUCACCAAUUGAGGAAAAAUACCUUCCCUCUGAUGAGUGCCCAGGAAAACAAUAAGAAAAGGCCUCAAACGAGAACCAGAGAACAAGGAGUUUUGCUAAAGAACCACUGUGAAAUGAUUGAAGUUCCCAUGCAAACAAACCAUUAGCAGAGUUCAAAUGCAAUUUAAAUUACCAGUUGUUAAAGUGCUCCUCAAUUUCGUGGAGAAAUAUGAAGCCGCCUUCAGAUAUACUCCUGACCUCAAAACCAGAGAGGGCCACGGCAAAGCUCUCUCCUAAGAGAAGAACAAGAAAAGGCUGAUGAGUGAUUAGUCAAAGGUGCUCAAAAUGAGCAGAUCCUUGGCAGGAACAGGAAAGACACUCUUCCAGAUUAAUGAAACAAGUUCUGGGAUAUCCACACUGCCAGUUUCCACUGCUCUAUCUGGUCCGGAACCAGGAACUGCUCCUGCACAGAGAGGCUAAAGGAUUCACAAAACAAAGGCAGGCCUCGUCGCGUCUGGAAAGGGAAAGGAUUUCUAGAGGCUACCAUGAGUACAGGAUGAAGCUGAAUGCUUUGAUACAGGAUUUGUGUAAAUUAUUUAACCUCCCUGAGCUCAAGGUCCCUGUCUGCCAAACAGCACUAAUACCACCUACCCAUCGGGGUCUAAGUAAUCCUGCCCCGGGGAUUCCAAUUCCAGCACGCACUGCACAGAGCCCACACGCAGCAUGCAUUAAUGCUCGGCCCCUUGGCUUCCAAGGUUUUCAUAAUUUCUCAAAGCUUAUGAUUCUGUGGCUCUAAUUGAUGCAGACUAUAACUGACUCUUGUAAAAGCUAUGUAUGGUCCCUAAGUGCGCUGUGUGGAAAUCCAUUUGUCAUUCAAAAAAUAAAAUAAAACACGUGUGUGAA